Molecule: unclassified non-coding RNA, 194 nt
Filed under: soil metagenome
Description: partial contains 5.8S ribosomal RNA, internal transcribed spacer 2, and large subunit ribosomal RNA
Source: RNAcentral
AACGCACGAGACCUGCGGACCUGCGGAGGGAUCAUUAACAAAUCCAUUGGCGCGCAUCCAAAUGUCUCCAUGCAUUGGGGAUGCAGCGACACAUGUACCGUGUGCACGUUUACUCUGUACACUGUUUACAUUUCUACGAAUCAUCUGAUUGUUUACAAAUUGUGCAAAAUGUCAACUUUCAGCAAUGGAUCUCU